AACCUCAUAAAAAUCUGUGGCUUAAGCAGACGUUUAAACUUCACGUGUAAAAUAGGGCCUUAAUCCAUUCGUCCAAAAAUUUUUAAACACAUUUUCGUCAAUGCUCGCCGCAAAAAUUAUUUGAAACCAAACUGGGUUGGUCGAAGUGCAGAUUUUAGUUUUGGAAAUAAAAAGAAAAUCACAGUGUGAAGAAAACGUCGUUCAAAUACCAUACCUCAUGCAAUUUAAUAGAAUCCAGUAAUGAGAAAUAUCAUAAAUGGAUUUGAGCAAAAUUUCAAGUUCCACGAUAAACAAUUUUCUAUCGUAAAGAAUUUUUUUUCAAGAAAUAACAAUACCUAGCAAACA
Long non-coding RNA from Diorhabda carinulata, 345 nucleotides. RefSeq lists it as uncharacterized. The transcript is spliced from 2 exons. Lineage: Eukaryota; Metazoa; Arthropoda; Insecta; Coleoptera; Chrysomelidae. The record is from RefSeq and is a predicted model, not a curated record.